RNAcentral lists this ribosomal RNA (842 nucleotides) under uncultured bacterium. RNAcentral's name for it is "bacterial SSU rRNA". It matches the Rfam family "Bacterial small subunit ribosomal RNA", at positions 36 to 883 of the family's 1533-position model. The record is from RNAcentral.
CUGGCGGUGCGCCUUAUGCAUGCAAGUCGAGCGAAGCUUUUCAGUAGUUUACUACAGAAAAUGACUGAGCGGCGAACGGGUGAGUAACGCGUGAGCAAUCUACCUUAGUUACUGGGAUAGCCCGAGGAAACUCGGAUUAAUACCGGAUAAUCUUAUUACAUCACAUGAAGUUUUAAGCAAAGGUCAGCCGAACUAAGAUGAGCUCGCGUUCUAUCAGCUUGUUGGUGGGGUAAAAGCCUACCAAGGCUACGACGGAUAGCUGGUCUGAGAGGACGAUCAGCCACACUGGGACUGAGACACGGCCCAGACUCCUACGGGAGGCUGCAGCAGGGAAUAUUGCGCAAUGAGCGAAAGCUUGACGCAGCGACACCGCGUGUGGGAUGAAGGUUCUAGGAUUGUAAACCACUUUCAGGAGGGAAGAAAAUGACGGUACCUCCACAAGAAGCCCCGGCCAACUACGUGCCAGCAGCCGCGGUAAUACGUAGGGGGCGAGCGUUGUCCGGAUUUAUUGGGCGUAAAGAGCUCGUAGGCGGUUCAACAAGUCGGUCGUGAAAGUUCAGGGCUCAACCCUGAAAUGUCGAUCGAUACUGUUGUGACUAGGAUAUGGUAGAGGUGAGUGGAAUUCCGAGUGUAGCGGUGAAAUGCGUAGAUAUUCGGAGGAACACCAAUUGCGAAGGCAGCUCACUGGGCCACUAUCGACGCUGAGGAGCGAAAGCUAGGGGAGCAAACAGGAUUAGAUACCCUGGUAGUCCUAGCUGUAAACGAUGGAUACUAGAUGUAGGAAUUGGAUUGACGAUUUCUGUAUCGUAGCUAACGCGUUAAGUAUCCCGCCUGGGGAGUAC